UACGUAGGAGGCGAGCGUUGUCCGGAGUUACUGGGCGUAAAGGGCGCGUAGGCGGUCUUGCAAGUCCUGUGUGAAAUCCCUCGGCUCAACUGAGGAACUGCACAGGAAACUGCUUGGCUUGAGUUCGGGAGAGGGAAGCGGAAUUCCGGGUGUAGCGGUGAAAUGCGUAGAUAUCGGAAAGAACACCAACGGCGAAAGCACUCUGCUGGGCCGACACUGACACUGAGAGACGAAAGCUAGGGGAGCGAAUGGG
Molecule: ribosomal RNA, 253 nt
Filed under: uncultured bacterium
Lineage: Bacteria
Description: partial 16S ribosomal RNA
Rfam family: Bacterial small subunit ribosomal RNA
Source: RNAcentral